AGAAGGAGAAGAAGGAGAAGAUUAUGAAUGAAAUCUAGGGUUAAGGAUUUUUUCAGUUAUUUUCAGGUUCAGUUUUCGGAUCCUUCGAAGAAAGUUGAUAGAGAGAGAGAGAGAGAGAGAGAGAGAGAGAGAGAUUG
Long non-coding RNA from Telopea speciosissima, 137 nucleotides. RefSeq lists it as uncharacterized. The transcript has 3 exons. The record is from RefSeq and is a predicted model, not a curated record. Lineage: Eukaryota; Viridiplantae; Streptophyta; Magnoliopsida; Proteales; Proteaceae.